AUUGAACGCUGGCGGCAGGCCUAACACAUGCAAGUCGAACGAGUGGCGGACGGGUGAGUAAUGUCUGGGAAACUGCCUGAUGGAGGGGGAUAACUACUGGAAACGGUAGCUAAUACCGCAUACCCUCGGAUGUGCCCAGAUGGGAUUAGCUAGUAGGUGGGGUAACGGCUCACCUCGGCGACGAUCCCUAGCUGGUCUGAGAGGAUGCACAGCCACACUGGAACUGAGACACGGUCCAGACUCCUACGGGAGGCAGCAUUGGGGAAUAUUGCACAAUGGGCGAAAGCCUGAUGCAGCCAUGCCGCGUGUGUGAAGAAGGCCUUAGGGUUGUAAAGCACUUUCAGCGGGGAGGCGUUACCCGCAGAAGAAGCACCGGCUAACUCCGUGCCAGCAGCCGCGGUAAUUC
RNAcentral lists this ribosomal RNA (406 nucleotides) under uncultured bacterium. RNAcentral describes it as "partial 16S ribosomal RNA". It matches the Rfam family "Bacterial small subunit ribosomal RNA", at positions 30 to 526 of the family's 1533-position model. The record is from RNAcentral.